Malania oleifera is the source of this 106-nucleotide small nucleolar RNA. The record is from RefSeq and is a predicted model, not a curated record. NCBI's taxonomy places the organism in Eukaryota, Viridiplantae, Streptophyta, Magnoliopsida, Santalales, Ximeniaceae.
ACCUAGUGAUGUGGGUAUUUACAAAGCAGGUCCUUAAAGCGCUCUUAAGUCUCGAAAAAGAGUUCCCCAUCCAUCUGUGAGAAACUUGUGAGGGCUCUCCGAAGCU